UUCCAAACUCUAAAUCUCAUUUCCCUGACCGGGAAUUGAACUCGGGCCGCGGCGGUGAAAGCGCCAAAUCCUAGCCACUAGACCAUCAGGGACACAUUUAUGCAAAUGGAGUCAUAGUUUAAGUCGAAUGCUUUAAAAACAUCUGUAGUUUGGCUUGAAUUGAAAUUUAGAGCUUCAAUUCCCCGACUAGGAAUUUAACACUUUAUAUCUGAUUUCCCUGACCGGGAAUUGAACCCGGGCCGCGGCGGUGAGAGCGCCGAAUCCUAGCCACUAGACCAUCAGGGACACAAUUAUGCAAAUGGAGUCAUAGUUUAAGUUGAAUGCUUUAAAAACAUCUGCAGUUUUGCUUGAAUUAAAAGUUGGAUCUGGAAUUCCAAACUCUAAAUCUCAUUUCCCUGACCGGGAAUUGAACCCGGGCCGCGGCGGUGAAAGCGCCAAAUCCUAGCCCCUAGACCAUCAGGGACAUGGCUAUGCUAAUGAAGUCUUAGUUUAAGUCGAAAACUUUAAAAACAUCUGCAGUUUGGCUUGAAUUAAAAGUUGGAUCUGGAAUACCAAACUCUAAGUCUCAUUUCCCUGACCGGGAAUUGAACCCGGGCCGCAGCGGUGAGAGCGCUGAAUCCUGGCCACUAGACCAUCAGGGACAUGAUUAUGCUAAUGAAGUCUUAGUUUAAGUCGAAAACUUUAAAAACAUCUGCAUUAAAGCUUGAAUUCCCUGACCAGGAAUUUAACACUUUAUAUAUGAUUUCCCUUCCCGGGAAUUGAACCCGGGCCGCAGCGGUGAGAGCGCCGAAUCCUAGCCACUAGACCAUCAGUGACACAAUUAUGCAAAUGAAGUCUUAGUUUAAGUCGAAAACUUUAAAAACAUCUGUAGUUUCGCUUGAAUCAAAAGUUGGAUCUGGAAAUCCAAACUCUAAAUCUCAUUUCCGUGACCGGGAAUUGAACCCGGGCCGCGGCAGUGAGAACGCCAAAUCCUAGCCACUAGACCAUCAGGGACAUGAUUAUGCUAAUGAUGUAUUAAUUUAAGUCGAAAACUUUAAAAGCAUCUGCUGUUUGGCUUGAAUUAAAAGUCGGAUCUGGAAUUCCAAACUCUAAAUCUCGUUUCCCUGGCCGGGAAUUUAACCCGGGCCGCGGCGGUGAAAGCGCCAAAUCCUAGCCACAAGACCAUCAGGGACACAAUUAUGCAAAUGGAGUCAUAGUUUAAGUCGAAUGCUUUAAAAACAUCUGUAGUUUGGCUUGAAUUAAAAUUUAGAGCUUCAACGGCCCUGACCAGGAAUUUAACACUUUAUAUCUGAUUUCCCUGACCGGGAAUAGAACCCGGGCCGCGGCGGUGAGAGCGCCAAAUCCCGGCCACUAGACCAUCAGGGACAUGAUUAUGCUAAUGAAGUCUUAGUUUAAGUCGAAAACUUUAAAAACAUCUGCAGUUU
Gasterosteus aculeatus aculeatus (three-spined stickleback) is the source of this 1424-nucleotide long non-coding RNA. NCBI's taxonomy places the organism in Eukaryota, Metazoa, Chordata, Actinopteri, Perciformes, Gasterosteidae. The record is from Ensembl.